Molecule: long non-coding RNA, 2195 nt
Filed under: Gallus gallus (chicken)
Lineage: Eukaryota; Metazoa; Chordata; Aves; Galliformes; Phasianidae
Source: RNAcentral
CUGCGCAGCGCGCCCUGUGGCGGCCGAGCCGGGGCAGCCUGCUCAGCGCCGCGGCGGCGGCGGCGGCUGGAGACAAAGCGCCCAGCUAAUGAAUGGGACGGGCCCGCCCGGCCCUUCCUUUUAACUCCUUCGGGCCCGGCCGGGCGGCGGCGGCAGCGGCGACCUCCGGCUUUCCCUGCGGCGGCCGCCCGGGGAGAUACAAUCAUCUUUGAGUAACAAGUAUUUAACCUCAAAUGAAGCCUCCUGCAUGCAGCGGAGCAGAUAUGUAAGUUUCUUUUUUUUUUUUUUUUAAUUUUUCCUUGUUUAUUAAUUAGUGGACAGCUUGCUUGUUUGUUUAGGGUCUUAUAGUAUUGUUACUAGUAUUAAUUUAGAGUAAGCGAAUAGAUAAAGGGCAUGAAAAAUUAUAUAUUUGAAUUAGCUUGUGUGGAGCUUAGUAAUUUAGCAGGAGGUUUGUGUGAGUGUCUGAGAUUUAAAAAUUAACUUUGGAAGCCUGGAUAUCUUUACAGUGUUACAUUAAUAGUAACUGGCUCAUGAUUUAUGGUGUACCUCCUACUCUGUGGUAACAGCUGACAUAUAUACAUCCUCACUCUGCAGUUUACCUCCUGAAAAAGAGGGAAGUAACUUGCAUGCUCUACAUUCAUCCCAUGCCCCAAGUACAGUUGCCUCAUUUGAGGUUGUUUUGUUUUGCAUUCUCACUGAUAAGAGUAAACUUAAGUAUUUUCCUCUCAGCUUUUUGUCUGAAACAAUUUUUUUCUUUAUACAUUCAGUUUGAAUUGUGGCUACAGAUUUUUGGAAGCAAAAAAUUAAUUUCCUGCCUAAAAAAAUAUAAGUAGAUUAACAAUUAUGUGUAGAUUAACACUUUGUUAUUUUUGUAUAGUGUUUCAGAUAAUGCUAUUCCUCCCCAUCUUCCCUCCAAUAAAAACAGUUCAACUUUGGCUAUGUGAUUUGUUAACACGCACCUUAGCAUGGACAAACAGUUUAAGAGGUAAAAUGCUGAGCUAGGAAGUUUUGGUGGGGUCAAGUAAGACUGACCUCCAUAGGAAAAUAGAAUAAAAACAUGAUUCAGAUUCAUUUCUUGAAGGAAAGCUUUCCUAGGUUGCACAUACAGAGUUGCACGUACAGAAUAUGUAGGGGAUUUUGUUAUGUACUAAGACUGUUUGUGGAUCUUUCUUUGUCAAGAGUGUAAGGAAAACUGUUAGUGCUUUCGAAAUCCAUAGUAUAGCCAAAGAACAGGAGAGAGCAGUCAUCGUUUGCAGCAGCCUGUUGAGUCAAUUGUUGAUCACUGUAAAGGAAUCUUAGAAAAGGGAUGAUAUUGCAUUUCACAGAAUGUUUAAAAGCUCACUCAUUUGAUGCUGAAUUUUAAUACACUCCUCUAAGGAUCACUUUGUACUUUAUGCUGUUUCACUGUAUGAUGUCAAUCACCGUAGCUUUUUAUAGUUCUACCUAAAGUGGCUCUCAAGGCUAAAACCCUCCAAGGAAAAUAUCCAUUCCAGUAUUACCUGUCAAGUAAAAAUGAGUAUCUUGUCUUAAUAUCUUCAAUAACUGUUUUUUUAUUACAGUCCAGAUAAUAUAACUGUUGACUGCAAUUUGGGUUGUUCUGGUAGACAGCAAAAUCUAUAAGUAGUUAGUGCCAACACGAGCUCCAGUAGAAAAAUACAUCUGUUAUUGCCUGUGUACUGAUGUUUGUGUGCUUCUUCAAAAUUCAUAUUGUUGUUUUUCUUUUUUCUUUAACUAUUUUGUUAAUGUUUUAUAAAACACAAUCAUAUUUACAUGUUUAUUUUGGGGAGUGUGAAAUAUGAGUAAAUAUAUAUAUAUAAUCAUAGAAUAUGCAGAGCUGGAAGGGGCCCGUGAGGAUCAUGUGAGUCCAAUUCCUGGCAACAGUGUCUAAUACUACUUCUUGCUGGGGUUUGCUUUUCUGCAAAGGGCUAAGCACUAUCGAAUUUAGCUUGCACUUGAAAAAUUUCUCCUUCCUGUAUGACAGUUGAAGACUAGCUUUGUUUUCCCUAUGCAUUUCAGUGUAUCAGUAUGCAGAAUGAAAUAUAUUUGCCACUACAGAUUGCACUGUACUGUGAAUGAACAAAUUAUUGCAUGCUGGUUCGUAGAGCUGAGUAGUGUGGCCCGAAGAGCUAGCAUUUUGAAAAUGUUUCUUGUAUUUGUCAUGCUUCCUUUAUUAGUAAUUCAGUAGACACUCUUUU